RNAcentral lists this ribosomal RNA (619 nucleotides) under uncultured eukaryote. RNAcentral's name for it is "SSU rRNA". It matches the Rfam family "Eukaryotic small subunit ribosomal RNA", at positions 613 to 1233 of the family's 1831-position model. The record is from RNAcentral.
UUGCGGUUAAAAAGCUCGUAGUUGGAUUUCUGUUGAGAAUGUCCAGUCCGCACAUUGUGCGAGUAUUUGGUACAGUCUUGGCAUCCUCCUGGGGAGCGUUGAUGUACUUGAUUGUAUGUUGCGUGAUUCAGGACUUUUACUUUGAGGAAAUUAGAGUGUUCACGGCAGGCGUUUGCCUUGAAUAUGUUAGCAUGGAAUAAUAAUAUAAGACCUCGGUUCUAUUUUGUUGGUUUCUAGAAGCGAGGUAAUGAUUAAUAGGGACAAUUGGGGGUAUUCGAAUUAACGCGUCAGAGGUGGAAUUCUUGGAUUGCGUUACGACGAGCUACUGCGAUAGCAUUUACCAAGGAUGUUUUCAUUGAUCAAGAACGAAAGUCAGGGGAUCGAAGACGAUUAGAUACCGUCGUAGUCUUGACCAUAAACUAUGCCGACUAGAGAUUGGAAGUUCGCUCUUUUUACGGCUCCUUCAGCAUCUUAUGAGAAAUCAAAGUUUUUGGGUUCCGGGGGGAGUAUGGUCGCAAGGCUGAAACUUAAAGGAAUUGACGGAAGGGCACCACCAGGAGUGGAGCCUGCGGCUUAAUUUGACUCAACACGGGAAAAACUUACCAGGGUCCAGACAUAG